This 253-nucleotide ribosomal RNA is filed under the name uncultured bacterium. RNAcentral describes it as "partial 16S ribosomal RNA". It matches the Rfam family "Bacterial small subunit ribosomal RNA", at positions 524 to 776 of the family's 1533-position model. RNAcentral also lists the same sequence under 1 other name. The record is from RNAcentral.
UACAGAGGGUGCGAGCGUUGUCCGGAAUCACUGGGCGUAAAGGGCGCGUAGGCGGUCCGCUAAGUGUGUGGUGAAAGCUCGGGGCUCAACCCCGAGUCGGCCGUGCAAACUGGUGGACUGGAGCAUGUCAGAGGCAGGCGGAAUUCCGGGUGUAGCGGUGGAAUGCGUAGAGAUCCGGAAGAACACCGGUGGCGAAGGCGGCCUGCUGGGACAUGGCUGACGCUGAGGCGCGACAGCGUGGGGAGCAAACAGG